CACACUUAAACAUGUUCUUGACCAAGUGUAGUUAGCUCAAUUGAUAAUUAUCCUAGGUGAAAUUUAGAGGUCGCCGGUUCGAGUGACACUUGGGACGAAACUAAUAUUACAUGUUGUGGUUUCGGGCCUGGAAAGAUUAUGAAGUUCGGUACAAAACCUUCUGGUAUUCAAAAAAAAA
Molecule: small RNA, 178 nt
Filed under: Arabidopsis thaliana (thale cress)
Lineage: Eukaryota; Viridiplantae; Streptophyta; Magnoliopsida; Brassicales; Brassicaceae
Description: ATSL261020
Source: RNAcentral